UCGUCCGGCCAAAAAUAGGAAUAUCCUGGGGGCUUUUGGUGGCCAGGGCCCCUGCUUGCAGCCGUCCUUCUUUUGAGCUAUGGCCAUCUAGUAGUCGUCCAGAGAGCUAGCGCCCAACUUUGGGCGGUAAAUGGAUGCUAUGGCCCUUGUCCUGCAUUUUUGAUCUUCGGGUACGACUAUUUGUUUUUCGGCUCGGGGCAUCCUAAACUUCUUCUCAAAAUUGGACUUCUCAACACCCCCCCCGGUUUGGAAGGCCUAGCUGUGUGGUUAGUUGUUACUGAUGGUUUACGCAGUAGAGUCAAUGCUGCAGUCAUUUUGUGCUAUCUUGUCCAACUCUCCCUCUCCGAGUGGGUAAUACAAAGUGAGAAAUGGGGUGUUGCAAAUAAUCGAAUACGGGUCAAUCGCAUUCCGUGCUUCCGCCAUCAUGUCUAGAAAAUUUUACUUAGAUUUAGGUGGCUACAAGAUUUUGGCAGAUUUGAUUUUUGGAAAAGAAAUCAACUUGGAAAACUUAUGAAGUUGAUUUAAUUUCUUGAUUAUGAUUCCCCAUGUUGUGUCCACUCCUCAAAAACCUAAGAUCCCC
This 580-nucleotide small RNA is filed under the name Histoplasma ohiense. RNAcentral's name for it is "hypothetical lncRNA". The record is from RNAcentral. Lineage: Eukaryota; Fungi; Ascomycota; Eurotiomycetes; Onygenales; Ajellomycetaceae.